Molecule: ribosomal RNA, 494 nt
Filed under: uncultured bacterium
Lineage: Bacteria
Description: partial 16S ribosomal RNA
Rfam family: Bacterial small subunit ribosomal RNA
Source: RNAcentral
GACGAACGCUGGCGGCGUGCUUAACACAUGCAAGUCGAACGGUGAAGCGCCUUCCUUUUUGGUGGGUGUGGAUGAGUGGCGAACGGGUGAGUAACACGUGAGUAACCUGCCCCCUUCUUCUGGAUAACCGCAUGAAAGUGUGGCUAAUACGGGAUAUUCUGGGUCUGUCGCAUGAUGGGUCUGGGAAAGAUAUUGUUUCGGUGGGGGAUGGGCUCGCGGCCUAUCAGCUUGUUGGUGGGGUGAUGGCCUACCAAGGCGGUGACGGGUAGCCGGCCUGAGAGGGUGGACGGUCACACUGGGACUGAGACACGGCCCAGACUCCUACGGGAGGCAGCAGUGGGGAAUAUUGCACAAUGGGCGCAAGCCUGAUGCAGCGACGCCGCGUGAGGGAUGGAGGCCUUCGGGUUGUGAACCUCUUUCGCCAGUGAAGUAGGCCUGCCUCGUUUGUGGGUGGGUUGACGGUAGCUGGAUAAGAAGCGCCGGCUAACUACGUG